Molecule: long non-coding RNA, 911 nt
Organism: Leptopilina boulardi
Lineage: Eukaryota; Metazoa; Arthropoda; Insecta; Hymenoptera; Figitidae
Exons: 3
Source: RefSeq, a predicted model, not a curated record
GUUUAAAUAAUUAUUUAUCGAAUUUUCAUCACUUGUGAGUGCACAUAUAUUUUCAAAUUCCAUCAUAAAAUAUAUUUAAAAAUUUUUGCACUAGAUAACGCCACAAACAAAAUUUCACAUUUUGACAAAACAUAAGUAAACAAUUUUUUCUUAGUUACCAGAAAAAGUUUACUUUGUUUAAAAUUGCACUGAUGUUCACUUAAUUGUAAAAAUUGAAGAUUGCCUGUCAAAUUGCAAACAAUUCUUCGCAAUGGAGAAAAUUGAAGGCAAAAUGUAGACUUUUAAGAAAAUUAUUUAUUUUAAUUAUUACUCCUGUUCUAUAUUUCUAAUACAAAAAAUUUGAACUCCAAAAAUGUCAUCAGAAACAUUGCCAUACUCCGUAGUACAACUCAAAGAUAUAAUGGUUUUAGUUCCGAGCAAAUGGAUUGUAAGUCCACACGAUGAUAAUACAUUUUUCUGUUAUUAUCCACCAAUUAAAGAGGCCACAAAGCUUAAUGAGAUGGUUGACAAAUUAAGGGACCCGCAAAUAACGUGGAAGCAAUAUUCAGUCAUAAAAUAAUUAAAACGGACAGCCACUUUGGAUAGAAGAAAAGAAGAACUUUUGGAGGCGCUUGUUUUAUCCGAAAUUGACAGUGACCUAACAUAAAACUAUUCAAAAAAAAUUUUUAAAUCAAGACAUGAAAGGGCUAAAAGAUAUUCGCCACAAGAAACUGACAAUUUAAAAGAGUCUGAUAAAUCUCAAAGUACUGCUCUUAACGAACUGGAUGAUUCCAUCGCUGGUACGUCUGGAAUGUUUUCGGAUAAUAAACAAAAGUCAACAAUGAUAGAGUAUAAAACACUGGAAACGAAAAUUGAUCUUCCAUUGCCACCAGCAAAUCGAGUUAAACUAGAGAUUGCUCUGAGUAACAAAG